GCGGAUGGCUGGAUGGCCGCGUGGUGGCAACACCGCGAGGAAAGUCCGGACUCCACAAAACAACGGUGCCGGGUAACGCCCGGCUGGGGAAACCCAAGGGAAAGCGCCACAGAAAACAGACCGCCUGUGCCUGCACAGGUAAGGGUGAAACGGUGGGGUAAAAGCCCACCGCGGGACUGGCAACAGGACCGGCACGGCAAGCCCCACCGGGAGCAAUGCCAAAUAGGAACCUCGCGGGGUGUUAUGCCCCGGGGUCGUUUUGGCCCCGAAGGUUCGGGUUGGCAGCUAGAGCCUGUUGGUAACAGCAGGCGCAGAGGAAUGGUCAUCU
Molecule: RNase P RNA, 328 nt
Filed under: Paracoccaceae bacterium
Lineage: Bacteria; Pseudomonadati; Pseudomonadota; Alphaproteobacteria; Rhodobacterales; Paracoccaceae
Description: Rhodobacteraceae bacterium (aquatic metagenome) partial RNase P RNA component class A
Rfam family: Bacterial RNase P class A
About the family: Ribonuclease P (RNase P) is a ubiquitous endoribonuclease, found in archaea, bacteria and eukarya as well as chloroplasts and mitochondria. Its best characterised activity is the generation of mature 5'-ends of tRNAs by cleaving the 5'-leader elements of precursor-tRNAs.
Source: RNAcentral